RNAcentral lists this long non-coding RNA (225 nucleotides) under Elaeis guineensis (African oil palm). Its description in RNAcentral is "long non-coding RNA (EGUI_LNC032910)". Lineage: Eukaryota; Viridiplantae; Streptophyta; Magnoliopsida; Arecales; Arecaceae. The record is from RNAcentral.
GAUUAUGUAAUUAGGACUAUUUGCUUACCUGACCAAUUUGUCAUUGUCUAAGGAAAGUAAUGAGAAGCCUCCCAUCUACUUAUCUAGCCAAUUUGGUUAAGCGAUCUUGAAAUUAAAAAUUCUAAUGUUGAAAAGACUACUCGAGGCUUUGCUUCAUGUUAGGUCAAUAUUAUGUCAAGAACCAUUAUAGGUUUGUUGUGCGACCACAAGGCUUGCUAUAGGGAC